Molecule: ribosomal RNA, 253 nt
Filed under: uncultured bacterium
Lineage: Bacteria
Description: partial 16S ribosomal RNA
Rfam family: Bacterial small subunit ribosomal RNA
Source: RNAcentral
UACAGAGGGGGCAAGCGUUGUUCGGAAUCACUGGGCGUAAAGCGCGUGCAGGCGGCUUGGUAAGUCGGGUGUGAAAUCCCGGAGCUCAACUCCGGAACUGCACCCGAUACUGCCUCGCUAGAGUCCCGGAGAGGAUGGCGGAAUUUCCGGUGUAGAGGUGAAAUUCGUAGAUAUCGGAAGGAACACCAGCGGCGAAGGCGGCCAUCUGGACGGUGACUGACGCUCAGACGCGAAAGCGUGGGGAGCAAACAGG